RNAcentral lists this ribosomal RNA (253 nucleotides) under uncultured bacterium. Its description in RNAcentral is "partial 16S ribosomal RNA". It matches the Rfam family "Bacterial small subunit ribosomal RNA", at positions 524 to 776 of the family's 1533-position model. The record is from RNAcentral.
UACAGAGGUCUCAAGCGUUGUUCGGAUUCAUUGGGCGUAAAGGGUGCGUAGGCGGCGCGGUAAGUCGGGUGUGAAAUCUCGGAGCUUAACUCCGAAACUGCAUUCGAUACUGCCGUGCUUGAGGACUGGAGAGGAGACUGGAAUUCACGGUGUAGCAGUGAAAUGCGUAGAGAUCGUGAGGAAGACCAGUGGCGAAGGCGGGUCUCUGGACAGUUCCUGACGCUGAGGCACGAAGGUCAGGGGAGCAAACGGG